UAGGGAAUCCUCGGCAAUGGACGGAAGUCUGACCGAGCAACGCCGCGUGAGUGAAGAAGGUUUUCGGAUCGUAAAGCUCUGUUGUAAGAGAAGAACGAGUGUGAGAGUGGAAAGUUCACACUGUGACGGUAUCUUACCAGAAAGGGACGGCUAACUACGUGCCAGCAGCCGCGGUAAUACGUAGGUCCCGAGCGUUGUCCGGAUUUAUUGGGCGUAAAGCGAGCGCAGGCGGUUAGAUAAGUCUGAAGUUAAAGGCUGUGGCUUAACCAUAGUAGGCUUUGGAAACUGUUUAACUUGAGUGCAAGAGGGGAGAGUGGAAUUCCAUGUGUAGCGGUGAAAUGCGUAGAUAUAUGGAGGAACACCGGCGGCGAAAGCGGCUCUCUGGCUUGUAACUGACGCUGAGGCUCGAAAGCGUGGGGAGCAAACAGGAUUAGAUACCCUGGUAGUCCACGCUGUAAACGAUGAGUGCUAGGUGUUAGACCCUUUCCGGGGUUUAGUGCCGUAGCUAACGCAUUAAGCACUCCGCCUGGGGAGUACGACCGCAAGGUU
RNAcentral lists this ribosomal RNA (549 nucleotides) under uncultured bacterium. RNAcentral's name for it is "bacterial SSU rRNA". It matches the Rfam family "Bacterial small subunit ribosomal RNA", at positions 355 to 895 of the family's 1533-position model. The record is from RNAcentral.